RNAcentral lists this unclassified non-coding RNA (600 nucleotides) under Hevea brasiliensis (rubber tree). Lineage: Eukaryota; Viridiplantae; Streptophyta; Magnoliopsida; Malpighiales; Euphorbiaceae. The record is from RNAcentral.
GAACAUGAUGCGGAGAGGGACUCAUGCAGCUAACCCCAAAUAGUUUUAGGGUAAUGCUUAGUUGAACUGAGUUAAGUUUACACUUCAAUGUUAGAUACAUGAUAUAUGCAACUUGAAACGGGAGAUAAAUUCUUAAUCUUUCUGUAGUUGAUGGUGAGUUGUUAUGUGCAAAAUAUCUAAUUGAUUUUCAAUGACAAUUGUUAGGCAAUCUGGUGAUAAUUGUUAGUGGAAGAUACUGUCCCAAAAGUUCUAAGACAAUGGUAGUGAUGCAUUUCAUGUGACAGAUUUAUAGAUUAUAUGAAGAAGCAUUAAUAUACAAACAUAAAACAUGCAUGAAUUGUACUGUCUAAUUGCAGUUGAUAACUUGUGAAUCUCCUGUGUGCGAGUUAACUAGGUUUUAUGUCAUCAAAUGAACUUCCUGUAUUGAUGAAUAUAGCUUGUGUAUAUGGAGACAUUGGAAUGGAAUAUGAUUACUACUUCAAGACUCAAGUGGUCACAAAGUCAACAAUUAGUACAUGGUUUCUCAGGACGAUGAAAACUAACUUUAUGGUAUCUUAUGGUGAAACUACUCUUUGCAGGAAUGGUACAGUGGUAAGCUGA